CGUAAGCGCGCGCAGGCGGUUUCUUAAGUCUGAUGUGAAAGCCCCCGGCUCAACCGGGGAGGGUCAUUGGAAACUGGGGAACUUGAGUGCAGAAGAGGAGAGUGGAAUUCCACGUGUAGCGGUGAAAUGCGUAGAGAUGUGGAGGAACACCAGUGGCGAAGGCGACUCUCUGGUCUGUAACUGACGCUGAGGCGCGAAAGCGUGGGGAGCGAACAGGAUUAGAUACCCUGGUAGUCCACGCCGUAAACGAUGAGUGCUAAGUGUUAGAGGGUUUCCGCCCUUUAGUGCUGCAGCAAACGCAUUAAGCACUCCGCCUGGGGAGUACGGUCGCAAGACUGAAACUCAAAGGAAUUGACGGGGGCCCGCACAAGCGGUGGAGCAUGUGGUUUAAUUCGAAGCAACGCGAAGAACCUUACCAGGUCUUGACAUCCUCUGACAACCCUAGAGAUAGGGCUUCCCCUUCGGGGGCAGAGUGACAGGUGGUGCAUGGUUGUCGUCAGCUCGUGUCGUGAGAUGUUGGGUUAAGUCCCGCAACGAGCGCAACCCUUGAUCUUAGUUGCCAGCAUUCAGUUGGGCACUCUAAGGUGACUGCCGGUGACAAACCGGAGGAAGGUGGGGAUGACGUCAAAUCAUCAUGCCCCUUAUGACCUGGGCUACACACGUGCUACAAUGGGCAGAACAAAGGGCAGCGAAGCCGCGAGGCUAAGCCAAUCCCACAAAUCUGUUCUCAGUUCGGAUCGCAGUCUGCAACUCGACUGCGUGAAGCUGGAAUCGCUAGUAAUCGCGGAUCAGCAUGCCGCGGUGAAUACCCCUCCCCGCGCCUUGUACACACCGCCCGUCACACCACGAGAGUUUGUAACACCCGAAGUCGGUGAGGUAACCUUUUGGAGCCAGCCGCCGAAAGGUGGGACAGAUGAUUGGGGUGAAGUCGUAACAAGGUAACCCGUAGUCGUGACUG
RNAcentral lists this ribosomal RNA (958 nucleotides) under Bacillus licheniformis. RNAcentral's name for it is "bacterial SSU rRNA". It matches the Rfam family "Bacterial small subunit ribosomal RNA", at positions 559 to 1514 of the family's 1533-position model. The record is from RNAcentral. Lineage: Bacteria; Bacillati; Bacillota; Bacilli; Caryophanales; Bacillaceae.